This 214-nucleotide ribosomal RNA is filed under the name uncultured bacterium. RNAcentral describes it as "partial 16S ribosomal RNA". It matches the Rfam family "Bacterial small subunit ribosomal RNA", at positions 30 to 238 of the family's 1533-position model. The record is from RNAcentral.
AUUGAACGCUGGCGGCAUGCCUUACACAUGCAAGUCGAACGGCAGCGCGGGAGCAAUCCUGGCGGCGAGUGGCGAACGGGUGAGUAACAUAUCGGAACGUGCCCUGGAGUGGGGAGUAACUAGUCGAAGAAUUAGUCUAAUAACCGCCAUACGAUCUACGGAGUGAAAGGUAGGGGAGUCGCAAGACCUCAUGCUCGUGGAGCGGCCGAUAUCU